RNAcentral lists this ribosomal RNA (534 nucleotides) under Triticum aestivum (bread wheat). Its description in RNAcentral is "partial small subunit ribosomal RNA". Lineage: Eukaryota; Viridiplantae; Streptophyta; Magnoliopsida; Poales; Poaceae. The record is from RNAcentral.
AUGUCCAACUACAUGAUGCAUCUGUUUUUUGAAAAUCCUGAGAUGCUAAUGCCAGGCAGCAGAAAGAUUUUGUUGGUGAGGGCCUACGAUGAGCUCGAGGACAUCAUCGGCAGUGGGGAGACACCUAAGGAUGACAGAGAAUUUACACAGAGGCUAAUAGAGAAAUGCAACGCGGGGGGUUCUAGGCCCGACUCUUUUAUUCACCAAGCUUGGCUGCUUGUUCAAAGCUUGUUGGGCGAUGUUGGCGACGAGACCAAGAUGUGGGAGGUGAUCCAAGGCGUGUGGGUGGAGAUGCUCUGCUUUUCUGCCGGCCGGUCCAGAGGAUACCUGCACGCUGAGGCUCUGGGAACAGGUGUGGAGUACCUCUCGUAUGUCUGGGUCCUGUUGACAUUCUACGGGAUGGAGACAUUUCCGGAUAAGCUUGAAAGGAGGGAGGGUCUGCCAGCUGCCAGCGAAGGAAGACAAGAUGCUGCUGCUGCUACGGCAUUUGGGUCUGAAAGUGAAGGCAGCGCGCAUGUCGUCAUUCAGGUUUGA